GAUGAACGCUGGCGGCGUGCCUAAUACAUGCAAGUCGAGCGAACAGACGAGGAGCUUGCUCCUUCGACGUUAGCGGCGGACGGGUGAGUAACACGUAGGUAACCUACCUAUAAGACUGGGAUAACUUCGGGAAACCGGAGCUAAUACCGGAUAAUAUUUCGAACCGCAUGGUUCGAUAGUGAAAGAUGGCUUUGCUAUCACUUAUAGAUGGACCUGCGUCGUAUUAGCUAGUUGGUAAGGUAACGGCUUACCAAGGCAACGAUACGUAGCCGACCUGAGAGGGUGAUCGGUCACACUGGAACUGAGACACGGUCCAGACUCCUACGGGAGGCAGCAGUAGGGAAUCUUCCGCAAAGGGCGAAAGCCUGACGGAGCAACGCCGCGUGAGUGAUGAAGGUCUUCGGAUCGUAAAACUCUGUUAGUAGGGAAGAACAAACGUGUAAGUAACUGUGCACGUCUUGACGGUACCUAAUCAGAAAGCCACGGCUAACUACGUG
Molecule: ribosomal RNA, 497 nt
Filed under: uncultured bacterium
Lineage: Bacteria
Description: partial 16S ribosomal RNA
Rfam family: Bacterial small subunit ribosomal RNA
Source: RNAcentral